CAUAUGGGUCUGUGAUCCGUAUCUAUAGGAACGGACGGACACAUGCCGACAGGCAGCACAAAUAUUUGCCCUCGUAAAGCAAUCUGCUUCUCAGCUGCCCGGAGACUGUCUGUUAUGACAAUUGAUUCCGCGCCGCCUUGCGAUGCUUUGCGAUGCGAUGCGAUGCAUUGUAAUAGUUCCCCAGUUGACCAUCUCGGGAGUGGAUGGGAGUGUCCAGAGUCGUAAAAGUUAUGGAAACCAAAUGCGAAUACGGGAUACUUGAUGGCGGCGCAUGGCGGCCAUUCGAAUGGAUCAACGAACCCAAAAAUAGCAGAUGCAGAUACAGAUGCGGCGAUGUGAUCCAACAAUUAUCAAUUGUGAUUACUUCAUUCGGUUCGAAAUGGAGCCUCAAGCCGUCAAACUGGUUAACUGAUGCAACUUGGCCUGCCGCUGGGCAUAAAUUGCAAUUUACGGUGUACCAAUUCUUGAUGAGGAAGAAGAGCAAUGGAAAUGGAAAAAACUGAACGAAAUCAAAGAAAAUAAAAAAAGGGGGACAUUUCAGAGAUACACACGCAGAUACAGAUACUCACGCACACUGUCAACGGCGAAUAUUUCAAGUUUCCUAGUCUCGAUUUUCCGUUCUCCCCGGCGUUUAAAUAUUUCAUUUUGUCAAAAAAGAAUGGAGCAAGGAAUGCACCGAAAAAAAACAGCGGAAAAUGGGGAAACGAGAGCAGCUGCCAAAGCUUUUAGGUAAAUUAAAUAAUUCUUCCUCCUCUCUGUCAUUUUAGUCCAAAUGAAAAAUUGCUGGGGCAGCACGAAUAGUUUAGUUUAUUUUAGCCUGAGCUCAAAAACGACAGCAGGAGCAAUCCAUCAAAAACUACAGAAGCAUUCUUGCUUAAUUUAUGGCUUAAUAAACCCGGUAUCUCGCCGCGGGACAUCCAUGUUAAUCAGAUAUUCCCAGCGCAGAAGCCCAGGCAGUUCGAUUGAAAUAUGGCCGCGGCGGAAACGCCAAAUGGGAUUGAGCCCAGGUAUGGGUCUGGAAUGGAAAUGCAUUCCCCAAUUACCAAUUACCAUUCCCGGCGUUGCAUGUGUGCACCGGAUAAUGUCAAUCAGCGAACAUUCUUCAUUUUUGUUUACUCACUCACCUUGGGGCGUUCUCCAUGCUGUGGCCUCUUGU
This is a long non-coding RNA of Drosophila gunungcola (fruit fly), 1156 nucleotides long. RefSeq lists it as uncharacterized. The transcript is spliced from 3 exons. NCBI's taxonomy places the organism in Eukaryota, Metazoa, Arthropoda, Insecta, Diptera, Drosophilidae. The record is from RefSeq and is a predicted model, not a curated record.